Molecule: ribosomal RNA, 375 nt
Filed under: uncultured organism
Description: partial 16S ribosomal RNA
Rfam family: Bacterial small subunit ribosomal RNA
Source: RNAcentral
GUAGGUGGCAAGCGUUGUCCGGAAUUAUUGGGCGUAAAGCGCGCGCAGGCGGUCCUUUAAGUCUGAUGUGAAAGCCCACGGCUCAACCGUGGAGGGUCAUUGGAAACUGGGGGACUUGAGUACAGAAGAGGAAAGCGGAAUUCCAAGUGUAGCGGUGAAAUGCGUAGAGAUUUGGAGGAACACCAGUGGCGAAGGCGGCUUUCUGGUCUGUAACUGACGCUGAGGCGCGAAAGUGUGGGGAGCAAACAGGAUUAGAUACCCUGGUAGUCCACGCCGUAAACGAUGAGUGCUAAGUGUUAGGGGGUUUCCCGCCCCCCUUAGUGCUGCAGCUAACGCAUUAAGCACUCCGCCUGGGGGAGUACGGCCGCAAGGCUG